UGGUGCUACAGUUCCUGCUGCCUCCUAAACAUGGAUGAUUUUAUCUUUUAUUUUUCGAAAGCAUCCAAUCUCUAAUGGCACUCUGAAUAAGUUCUGCAGAAAGACAACACUCACAUGUUUUUGUAAAAACAAAGUGGUUCUACCUCCGAGAAGUUUCCAUCUUCCCAUUAAAAAAACGCGUUUGCCUUAAGCCCAAGCCUAUAGUCUUUUUGGCCAAGCUCGAUGGAUCAAAGUGGGUAUGUCUGCAAAGGAAUGAACAGAAGGUUCUUGGAAGCAGCCAAAUCAGGGAACGUCCAAGUGCUUAAUGAGAUUGAGGAGCUGCAACGCGUUACUAAUGAGGUAACGCCAGGGGAAAACACGGUGCUACAUAUUGCCGCCUAUCAUGGCUCUCUGCAAUUCGUUCAAAAGUUGCUUCAACUCUCAAAUGCCAAUCCAGAGGAUGGGAUGACAUUUUUAAAAGCUAAAAAUAUGGAGGGAAACACAGCGUUACACGAAGGGGCGUUGGGAGGAAAUGAGCAAGUCGUGGAAGAUUUAUUGAAGUCAUGCCCAGAUUUGGUGAAUGAGAUUAACAAAGCAGGUGAAACGGCUCUCUUUAAAGCUUGUGAGGGAGGUCAUCUCAAGAUUGUUGAAAUGUUGUGCUGUAGGACUUCAAGAGAGUACUACAAGAGAUUUGAUGGACAAACGGUUUUACAUCUUGCAGUCUCUAAAUUAAGUACAGAUGUAAUUAAGAAGCUUUUAGAAAAUGAACCUGAACUUGCCACAGAAGUAGACACUUUCAACCGAACUCCGUUGCACAUGGCUGCCUUAUAUCAAUUUCCAGUUGCGAUGUUUCCAUGUUUUUCAAUGAAUCCGAAGAAACUUCGCCGGAUUGGAAGAUGCUUAUCAAAAAUGGUAAUGGACUUUCUUGUUACAAAGUGGACCAAAACAAGCAGUCUGCACUUCACGUUGCAGCCAAAGAGGGGAACGCAACUCUAGUGAAAGUGAUAUUGAAUUACGGCAGCGACUGUCUGGAAAUGGUAGACAAAGAUGGUAGAAAUGCCUUCCAUCUGGCUGUGAACAAUGCUGUUGUAAUAUUUAGGAGAGUUGGAAAAAUUCUGAGAUGGAUAAUAUCCUCGGUAAUGUCAGAAAGACUGAUUAAUUGCAUUGAUAAUAAUGGGCAAACGGCAUUAGAUAUUGCACUAAAGAAAUGCAACGAAGACCCACAACUUUAUGGGGCUGUCUUACGAGGACACAUUUUUUUAUUUUGCAUUUCGAGCUGGCGGAGAAGCGGAUAACAUCUUAACUAAUAUGAGCUUGCAUGCGUUAUAUAUAGCACUGGUAUCAUUAUCAUUAACAUUUGGCGCAGCAAUGCAUCUGGUUGUGGCAUCGAAGUGUUGGUGGUUGGCUGUGCUUGUGUGGGUUAUGGUGUGCCUUCUUCCAAUAUGCAUAAGGGCAAUGUCACUACGUGGAAAACAAUACCUGUUCACUCCACUUGACCAACAUAUCAAAUUAGUGCUGCUUGUUUUCGGUCUUGUACUCGCUUCGUUUGCUCCCUUGGUUGUGAUAGCCAUUGCGGUUUUCUAUGGAAUAUAUCACCCUUUGCGUAGGGUUUGGAAGAAGCUCCAUGGAAUCAAAUCUAAAGUUCACUAGAUAUGCAGUUAAAUGUAUUUCGUGUGGUGUUAAAAAGCAGAUAUCUUUGAAAAAGUUUAUAGCUAUUAGAAGGUUCAAAUAGUGGGAGAUUUAAGGUCAAGAUCAUUCCAAAAGUUAUUAU
RNA transcript from Cryptomeria japonica (Japanese cedar), 1750 nucleotides. RefSeq lists it as uncharacterized. NCBI's taxonomy places the organism in Eukaryota, Viridiplantae, Streptophyta, Pinopsida, Cupressales, Cupressaceae. The transcript is spliced from 3 exons. The record is from RefSeq and is a predicted model, not a curated record.